UACAGAGGGUGCAAGCGUUGCUCGGAUUUACUGGGCGUAAAGCGUACGCAGACGGUGAGGAAGGUCGAAUGUGAAAGCCCCGGGCUCAACCCGGGAACUGCAUCCGAAACCAUCUCGCUAGAGUGUGGGAGAGGGAAGCGGAAUUCCUGGUGUAGAGGUGAAAUUCGUAGAUAUCAGGAGGAACACCGGCGGCGAAGGCGGCUUCCUGGCCCAUUACUGACGUUCAGGUACGAAAGCGUGGGUAGCAAACAGG
This 253-nucleotide unclassified non-coding RNA is filed under the name uncultured Pseudobdellovibrionaceae bacterium. RNAcentral's name for it is "uncultured Bdellovibrionaceae bacterium contains 16S-23S intergenic spacer region". It matches the Rfam family "Bacterial small subunit ribosomal RNA", at positions 524 to 776 of the family's 1533-position model. Lineage: Bacteria; Pseudomonadati; Bdellovibrionota; Bdellovibrionia; Bdellovibrionales; Pseudobdellovibrionaceae. The record is from RNAcentral.